UAGGGAAUCUUCGGCAAUGGGGGCAACCCUGACCGAGCAACGCCGCGUGAGUGAAGAAGGUUUUCGGAUCGUAAAGCUCUGUUGUAAGUCAAGAACGGGUGUGAGAGUGGAAAGUUCACACUGUGACGGUAGCUUACCAGAAAGGGACGGCUAACUACGUGCCAGCAGCCGCGGUAAUACGUAGGUCCCGAGCGUUGUCCGGAUUUAUUGGGCGUAAAGCGAGCGCAGGCGGUUUGAUAAGUCUGAAGUUAAAGGCUGUGGCUCAACCAUAGUUCGCUUUGGAAACUGUCAAACUUGAGUGCAGAAGGGGAGAGUGGAAUUCCAUGUGUAGCGGUGAAAUGCGUAGAUAUAUGGAGGAACACCGGUGGCGAAAGCGGCUCUCUGGUCUGUAACUGACGCUGAGGCUCGAAAGCGUGGGGAGCGAACAGGAUUAGGAUA
Molecule: ribosomal RNA, 438 nt
Filed under: uncultured bacterium
Lineage: Bacteria
Description: partial 16S ribosomal RNA
Rfam family: Bacterial small subunit ribosomal RNA
Source: RNAcentral